CGGAGGGUGCAAGCGUUAUCCGGAGUUUACUGGGUUUAAAGGGUGUGUAGGCGGGCUAUUAAGUCAGCGGUGAAAUCUCCGGGCUCAACCGGAAACUGCCAUUGAUACUAUUAGUCUUGAAUGUUGUUGAGGUGGGCGGAACGGGUCAUGUAGCGGUGAAAUGCAUAGAUAUGACCCGGAACACCGAUUGCGAAGGCAGCCCACUAAGCAAUGAUUGACGCUGAGGCACGAAAGCGUGGGGGAUCAAACAGGAUUAGAUACCCUGGUAGUCCACGCCCUAAACGAUGAUUACUCGACGUUGGCGAUACACUGAUCAGCGUCCAAGCGAAAGCAUUAAGUAAUCCACCUGGGAAGUACGUUCGCAAGAAUG
Molecule: ribosomal RNA, 370 nt
Filed under: uncultured organism
Description: bacterial SSU rRNA
Rfam family: Bacterial small subunit ribosomal RNA
Source: RNAcentral